UCCGGAGGGGGCGAGCGUUAUUCGGAAUUAUUGGGCGUAAAGGGCGCGUAGGCGGCUUGGCAAGUCAAAGGUGAAAUCCCUCGGCUCAACUGAGGAACUGCCUUUGAAACUGCCUGGCUUGAGGCCGGGAGGGGGUAGCGGAAUUCCCAGUGUAGCGGUGAAAUGCGUAGAUAUUGGGAGGAACACCAGUGGCGAAGGCGGCUACCUGGACCGGUUCUGACGCUGAUGCGCGAAAGCGUGGGUAGCAAACAGG
Molecule: ribosomal RNA, 253 nt
Filed under: uncultured bacterium
Lineage: Bacteria
Description: partial 16S ribosomal RNA
Rfam family: Bacterial small subunit ribosomal RNA
Source: RNAcentral